Molecule: long non-coding RNA, 617 nt
Filed under: Homo sapiens (human)
Lineage: Eukaryota; Metazoa; Chordata; Mammalia; Primates; Hominidae
Description: HSALNT0067585
Source: RNAcentral
GAUAAUAUGCUGGAGGUGCUCAGGGCAAACAACUCAGAUGUGUGUGGGAGUGUGCAUGCGAGGGUUUUUACGCAUAUGGUAUAGUCUUUUUCCUGCCCAGAAGACCUACAUACUAGUCUAGCCCAUCCUGGGGGAAGUGAGAGAUGUGAUGGCUCUGCAUUUUCUCUGGCUUUGCCCUGGAACCUGGGAUGAAUCCACUCCGACUGGAUGGAAAUUUCAGCAAAUAAGAUCCCAGUGUUGUUCAUCAACUUCUCCAGGUUUGCUUUAAGCUCCUUUAGCUAGCUGCCCGCAUGCUGAUUGAAAGGUUACGAAGAAAACACAGGAAGAGAAAUCCAGGCUACAAUUGUUAUUUGCAAGUUAGUGACUGGUCCUGGAACCUGACACUCCCUUCAUGGGUCAGCAUGCCCAGAGUUUUUGUGGUUCAUUUACCCCAGAAGGACUUAGUACCAAACAUUUCACAGAUUUCCGUUAUAAAGGUCUUUACAAACACAGACCCAUGCAAAAGGCCCAACUAUCACCUUCAACAACAAUGCAAUGGCCUUCCAUGGCCUUACAGUAGGGCCAAGUCAGCAAGGACCUAAACAGCCUCCAGUGUGACUUUGUCACAGUUCGCGCAC